GUCUACGACCAUGCCACUCUGAACAAGCCUGAGGUCCGAUCUCACAAGCUAAGCAGGGUCGGUCCUGGUUAGUACUUGGAUGAGAGACCACCUAGGAAGACCAGGUGCUGUAGACA
Non-coding RNA from Pteropus alecto (black flying fox), 116 nucleotides. The record is from Rfam. Lineage: Eukaryota; Metazoa; Chordata; Mammalia; Chiroptera; Pteropodidae.